UUGAAAAAAUUGUGGAUUUGA
RNAcentral lists this microRNA (21 nucleotides) under Medicago truncatula (barrel medic). RNAcentral's name for it is "mtr-miR5240". The record is from miRBase by way of RNAcentral. Lineage: Eukaryota; Viridiplantae; Streptophyta; Magnoliopsida; Fabales; Fabaceae.